CUGGCGGCGUGCCUAAUACAUGCAAGUAGAACGCUGAAGAGAGGAGCUUGCUCUUCUUGGAUGAGUUGCGAACGGGUGAGUAACGCGUAGGUAACCUGCCUUGUAGCGGGGGAUAACUAUUGGAAACGAUAGCUAAUACCGCAUAACAAUGGAUGACACAUGUCAUUUAUUUGAAAGGGGCAAUUGCUCCACUACAAGAUGGACCUGCGUUGUAUUAGCUAGUAGGUGAGGUAAUGGCUCACCUAGGCGACGAUACAUAGCCGACCUGAGAGGGUGAUCGGCCACACUGGGACUGAGACACGGCCCAGACUCCUACGGGAGGCAGCAGUAGGGAAUCUUCGGCAAUGGGGGCAACCCUGACCGAGCAACGCCGCGUGAGUGAAGAAGGUUUUCGGAUCGUAAAGCUCUGUUGUAAGUCAAGAACGGGUGUGAGAGUGGAAAGUUCACACUGUGACGGUAGCUUACCAGAAAGGGACGGCUAACUACGUGCCAGCAGCCGCGGUAAUACGUAGGUCCCGAGCGUUGUCCGGAUUUAUUGGGCGUAAAGCGAGCGCAGGCGGUUUGAUAAGUCUGAAGUUAAAGGCUGUGGCUCAACCAUAGUUCGCUUUGGAAACUGUCAAACUUGAGUGCAGAAGGGGAGAGUGGAAUUCCAUGUGUAGCGGUGAAAUGCGUAGAUAUAUGGAGGAACACCGGUGGCGAAAGCGGCUCUCUGGUCUGUAACUGACGCUGAGGCUCGAAAGCGUGGGGAGCGAACAGGAUUAGAUACCCUGGUAGUCCACGCCGUAAACGAUGAGUGCUAGGUGUUGGAUCCUUUCCGGGAUUCAGUGCCGCAGCUAACGCAUUAAGCACUCCGCCUGGGGAGUACGACCGCAAGGUUGAAACUCAAAGGAAUUGACGGGGGCCCGCACAAGCGGUGGAGCAUGUGGUUUAAUUCGAAGCAACGCGAAGAACCUUACCAGGUCUUGACAUCCCGAUGCUAUUUCUAGAGAUAGAAAGUUACUUCGGUACAUCGGUGACAGGUGGUGCAUGGUUGUCGUCAGCUCGUGUCGUGAGAUGUUGGGUUAAGUCCCGCAACGAGCGCAACCCCUAUUGUUAGUUGCCAUCAUUCAGUUGGGCACUCUAGCGAGACUGCCGGUAAUAAACCGGAGGAAGGUGGGGAUGACGUCAAAUCAUCAUGCCCCUUAUGACCUGGGCUACACACGUGCUACAAUGGUUGGUACAACGAGUUGCGAGUCGGUGACGGCGAGCUAAUCUCUUAAAGCCAAUCUCAGUUCGGAUUGUAGGCUGCAACUCGCCUACAUGAAGUCGGAAUCGCUAGUAAUCGCGGAUCAGCACGCCGCGGUGAAUACGUUCCCGGGCCUUGUACACACCGCCCGUCACACCACGAGAGUUUGUAACACCCGAAGUCGGUGAGGUAACCUUUUGGAGCCAGCCGCCUAAGGUGGGACAGAUGAUUGGGGUG
RNAcentral lists this ribosomal RNA (1462 nucleotides) under Streptococcus thermophilus. Its description in RNAcentral is "bacterial SSU rRNA". It matches the Rfam family "Bacterial small subunit ribosomal RNA". The record is from RNAcentral. Lineage: Bacteria; Bacillati; Bacillota; Bacilli; Lactobacillales; Streptococcaceae.